CUCCUGACUGACCGAUAGUGAACCAGUACCGUGAGGGAAAGGCGAAAAGAACCCCGGCGAGGGGAGUGAAAAAGAACCUGAAACCGUGUACGUACAAGCAGUGGGAGCCUCUUUUAUGGGGUGACUGCGUACCUUUUGUAUAAUGGGUCAGCGACUUAUAUUCUGUAGCAAGGUUAACCGAAUAGGGGAGCCGAAGGGAAACCGAGUCUUAACUGGGCGUUAAGUUGCAGGGUAUAGACCCGAAACCCGGUGAUCUAGCCAUGGGCAGGUUGAAGGUUGGGUAACACUAACUGGAGGACCGAACCGACUAAUGUUGAAAAAUUAGCGGAUGACUUGUGGCUGGGGGUGAAAGGCCAAUCAAACCGGGAGAUAGCUGGUUCUCCCCGAAAGCUAUUUAGGUAGCGCCUCGUGAAUUCAUCUCCGGGGGUAGAGCACUGUUUCGGCAAGGGGGUCAUCCCGACUUACCAACCCGAUGCAAACUGCGAAUACCGGAGAAUGUUAUCACGGGAGACACACGGCGGGUGCUAACGUCCGUCGUGAAGAGGGAAACAACCCAGACCGCCAGCUAAGGUCCCAAAGUCAUGGUUAAGUGGGAAACGAUGUGGGAAGGCCCAGACAGCCAGGAUGUUGGCUUAGAAGCAGCCAUCAUUUAAAGAAAGCGUAAUAGCUCACUGGUCGAGUCGGCCUGCGCGGAAGAUGUAACGGGGCUAAA
RNAcentral lists this ribosomal RNA (712 nucleotides) under Escherichia coli. RNAcentral's name for it is "partial 23S ribosomal RNA". It matches the Rfam family "Bacterial large subunit ribosomal RNA", at positions 473 to 1185 of the family's 2925-position model. The record is from RNAcentral. Lineage: Bacteria; Pseudomonadati; Pseudomonadota; Gammaproteobacteria; Enterobacterales; Enterobacteriaceae.